Molecule: long non-coding RNA, 1249 nt
Filed under: Camarhynchus parvulus
Lineage: Eukaryota; Metazoa; Chordata; Aves; Passeriformes; Thraupidae
Description: lncRNA (ENSCPVG00000018219.1)
Source: RNAcentral
AUGAGCAUCCACAGCCGUUUCCAAUCCAUGGGGCAGGUCAGGAGCCCGGUGGCUGUGCGCAGCUCUGGGGGCAGGCUCAGGUGUCUGCCCUCGGGGUGGCUCUGCGCUGGGAGCGCCGCAGGGGCCCCGCCUGGCUGCUCCUCCGGGCUGGGGACUCCACCUUCCACUCCCUGGGGCGGCACGGGCUGCAGGAAGGAAGGAGAACAGCCCUGCAUUUCCAAACCCUUGGCCAACCCCUCUGCAGUGCCUGCUCCAGCCCCUCUCUGCCUGUUCCAUCCUCUCUUUCUCUAUUCCUGCAAUGCCUGCUCCAGUGUUUCUGCCUGCAGUGGAUGUUCCAGCCUCUGCUGCUCCAGGUUUCCCUGCAGUGCCUGCUCCAGCCUGUCCUCUGCCCUGCAGUGCCUGCUCCAGUGUUUCUGCCUGCAGUGGAUGUUCCAGCCUUUCUUUAUUCCUGCAAUGCCUGCUCCAGUGUUUCUGCCUGCAGUGCGAUCGCUCUUUCUCCCUCAGGCCUGUCCAUUUCUCUUGCAUGGUUCCCCCCUGCAAUGCCUGCUCCAGUGUUUCUGCCUGCAGUGCCUGCUCCAGCCCCUCUUUCUCCCUGCAGUGGCUGCUCCAGUCUUUCUUUCUGCCUGUAGAGCCUGCUCCAGCCCCUCUUUCUCUCUGCCUGUUGCAUCCUCUCUUUCUGCCUGCAGUGCCUGCUCCAGCUUCUCUCUCUCUCUCUCUGCCUGUUCCAGCCCCUCUCUGCCAGCAGUGAGUGCUCCAGCCUCUCUCUGCCUGCAGUGGUCCAGUGUUUCUUUCUGCCUGCAGUGGAUCUUCCAGCCCCUCUCCCUGCCUGCUCCAGCCCCUCUCUCUCUGCCUGUUCCAUCCUCUCUCUCUCCCAGCAGUGCCUGCCCCAGCCCUGUGCUGCACUCACGGUUUUUCUGGAGAUGUCAAACAGAUGAUAUCCCUCGGCCCAUCCUCAGCCUCUUUCUUCACUGCAAACAAAACACAAUAUUUUCAUAUUUUACAAAAUGCCACAGAGUUUGGUCAUUUGGGGUUGGCUUCAUUUCCCCUUACCCUCAAAUAAGAAUGCCAAGGGUGACUUGCCUGGAGCUGAAUGGGGUGUGUGCAUCAUGCUGAUGUAGCUGACCCCAGCACCAAAAGUCAACUCAUUAAUGGUCUCUGGAAAUAAAUAAAAAAUAAAAAAAUCACAUAUUAGCAGCCUGUGACACAGCCAGAGGGCAAAGCACGCUGCUGUGCCGUACUCAAGUGUCAC